UACGUAGGUGGCAAGCGUUAUCCGGAUUUACUGGGUGUAAAGGGAGCGUAGACGGCGAUGCAAGCCAGAUGUGAAAGCCCGGGGCUCAACCCCGGGACUGCAUUUGGAACUGUAUAGCUAGAGUGUCGGAGAGGCAGGCGGAAUUCCUAGUGUAGCGGUGAAAUGCGUAGAUAUUAGGAGGAACACUAGUGGCGAAGGCGGCCUGCUGGACGAUGACUGACGUUGAGGCUCGAAAGCGUGGGGAGCAAACAGG
Molecule: ribosomal RNA, 253 nt
Filed under: uncultured bacterium
Lineage: Bacteria
Description: partial 16S ribosomal RNA
Rfam family: Bacterial small subunit ribosomal RNA
Source: RNAcentral